RNAcentral lists this ribosomal RNA (253 nucleotides) under uncultured bacterium. RNAcentral's name for it is "partial 16S ribosomal RNA". It matches the Rfam family "Bacterial small subunit ribosomal RNA", at positions 524 to 776 of the family's 1533-position model. The record is from RNAcentral.
UACGUAGGGGGCGAGCGUUGCUCGGAAUCACUGGGCGUAAAGGGCGCGUAGGCGGGGAGGUAAGUCGGGUGUGAAAUCCCUCGGCCCAACUGAGGAACUGCGCCCGAGACUGCUUCUCUUGAGUCCCGGAGAGGAAGAUGGAAUUCCCGGUGUAGCGGUGAAAUGUGUAGAGAUCGGGAGGAACACCGGUGGCGAAGGCGGUCUUCUGGACGGUGACUGACGCUGAGGCGCGAAAGCGUGGGGAGCAAACGGG